RNAcentral lists this ribosomal RNA (695 nucleotides) under Mucor falcatus. Its description in RNAcentral is "eukaryotic LSU rRNA". It matches the Rfam family "Eukaryotic large subunit ribosomal RNA", at positions 50 to 648 of the family's 3401-position model. The record is from RNAcentral. Lineage: Eukaryota; Fungi; Mucoromycota; Mucoromycetes; Mucorales; Mucoraceae.
GCGGAGGAAAAGAAAAUAACAAUGAUUUCCCCAGUAACGGCGAGUGAAGAGGAAAGAGCUCAAAGUUGGAACCUGUUUGGCUUAGCUAAACCGGAUUGUAAACUGUAGAAACGUUUUCCUGACACGCCAGAUUAAUAAGUCCUUUGGAACAGGGCAUCAUAGAGGGUGAGAAUCCCGUCUUUGGUCUGAGCUGUUGUCUUUUGUGAUACGUUUUCAAAGAGUCAGGUUGUUUGGGAAUGCAGCCUAAAUUGGGUGGUAAAUCUCACCUAAAGCUAAAUAUUUGCGAGAGACCGAUAGCGAACAAGUACCGUGAGGGAAAGAUGAAAAGAACUUUGAAAAGAGAGUUAAACAGUAUGUGAAAUUACUAAAAGGGAACCGUUUGGAGCCAGACUGGCUUGAUCGUAAUCAAUCUAGGUUUCGACCUGGGUGCAAUUGCGGUCUAUGCCUGCCAACGACAGUUCUUUCUGAAGGAUAAAACUAAGAGGAAUGUGGCCCUUCGGGGUGUUAUAGCCUUUUAGAUAAUACUUUGGAUGGGACUGAGGAACGCAGUGAAUGCUAUUAUGGCGAGAUUUCAAUGCGCUUUUCUCCUUCAGAUAUAUGAAUUUCUGCUUCGGGUGGUGCAUAUGUCUAAGGAGAGAACUCGUGUUGUUAUUCUUCUAUUCACUUAGGUUGUUGGCUUAAUGACUCUAAAUGAC